AGAGACUCUCCCUGAUCUAGUAAAGUUAAUGAGGCUUUUACUGAAUUAAACCAACUUGGUGAGCUUUGCUAAAGCUUUGGAGGCUGUCAGAAUUCUACCAGCAAUAGAUACUUGAAGUAUUUGAAAGAAAGAGAAUAAGCAUCUUUUGAAUAAUCAGGAACCACUUUAAAGAAUAUUAAAUGUAUAGGUGAACAGAAUUAAGAAAAUGAAUAAAUAUUUUAAUCAUAAGGCUAAUUUUCAGAGUUUCAAAGUAUAAAAUGCUUUUCUUAUUUUUUUCUUAAGCUUUUUACUAUACUAUUGAUUAAAGAAAAAUAUAAAGAAGAAAGGGGCAAAACAACCUAGCAAUCAAUGCCACAAUUAUUUAAAACCUAAGAGAGCGGGUUGGAGAACAGAGAGAAAAGGAUCGAUACUUUAUAAAGUGACCCUUCUCAAAUGGCAUUUGCACUCAAGAAUGGAAGGGUUGAUUUUACAGUGA
Molecule: long non-coding RNA, 475 nt
Filed under: Aotus nancymaae (Ma's night monkey)
Lineage: Eukaryota; Metazoa; Chordata; Mammalia; Primates; Aotidae
Description: lncRNA (ENSANAG00000038943.1)
Source: RNAcentral